Molecule: non-coding RNA, 178 nt
Organism: Miniopterus natalensis
Lineage: Eukaryota; Metazoa; Chordata; Mammalia; Chiroptera; Miniopteridae
Source: RefSeq, a predicted model, not a curated record
UGAAGAGUUCUGCGCGGGAAAGUGACCCUGAAUUACUAGAAACUAAUCUUGUCCAUGAGCAACCGUAAUAAACAUUUAAAAAGUCUUCACCUCCAUGGAGUAUUUCGUGAUCGUAUAGAAAUGAUACUUUCGGCACAGACCUUUGUGGGGCAAGUUUUGGUGAUCCUUGUAUUUGUAC